GGACUACCGGGGUAUCUAAUCCUGUUCGCUCCCCACGCUUUCGCUCCUCAGCGUCAGAACAGGCCCAGAGAACCGCCUUCGCCACCGGUGUUCCUCCUGAUAUCUGCGCAUUUCACCGCUACACCAGGAAUUCCGUUCUCCCCUGCCUGCCUCCAGCCAGCCCGUAUCCACUGCACGCCCGGGGUUGAGCCCCGGGAUUUCACAGCGGACGCGACAGGCCGCCUACGAGCUCUUUACGCCCAAUAAUUCCGGACAACGCUCGCGCCCUACGUAUUACCGCGGCUGCUGGCAC
Molecule: ribosomal RNA, 292 nt
Filed under: uncultured bacterium
Lineage: Bacteria
Description: partial 16S ribosomal RNA
Source: RNAcentral